Molecule: ribosomal RNA, 423 nt
Filed under: uncultured bacterium
Lineage: Bacteria
Description: bacterial SSU rRNA
Rfam family: Bacterial small subunit ribosomal RNA
Source: RNAcentral
GGGGAAUAUUGGACAAUGGGCGAAAGCCUGAUCCAGCAAUGCCGCGUGAGCGAUGAAGGCCUUCGGGUUGUAAAGCUCUGUGGGGAGAGACGAAUAAGGUGCGGCUAAUAUCCGCAUCGAUGACGGUAUCCCCUUAGCAAGCACCGGCUAACUCUGUGCCAGCAGCCGCGGUAAGACAGAGGGUGCAAACGUUGUUCGGAAUUACUGGGCGUAAAGCGCGUGUAGGCGGCUACGUAAGUCGGGCGUGAAAUCCCAUGGCUCAACCAUGGAAGUGCACCCGAAACUGCGUAGCUAGAGUCCUGGAGAGGAAGGUGGAAUACUUGGUGUAGAGGUGAAAUUCGUAGAUAUCAAGUGGAACACCGGUGGCGAAGGCGGCCUUCUGGACAGUGACUGACGCUGAGACGCGAAAGCGUGGGGAGCAAA